RNAcentral lists this ribosomal RNA (236 nucleotides) under uncultured bacterium. RNAcentral describes it as "partial 16S ribosomal RNA". It matches the Rfam family "Bacterial small subunit ribosomal RNA", at positions 524 to 744 of the family's 1533-position model. The record is from RNAcentral.
UACGUAGGGGUGCAAGCGUUGUCCGGAAUUACUGGGGCGUAAAAGAGCUCGUAGGUGGUUUUGUCGCGUUGUCCGUGAAAUUCCCUGGCUCAACUUGGGGGCGUGCAGUGGGGUACGGGGCAGACUAGAGUGCGGUAGGGGGGAGACUGGAAUUCCUGGUGUAGCGGUGGGAAUGCGCAGAUAUCAGGGAGGAACACCGAUGGCGAAGGGCAGGUCUCUGGGGCCCGUUUACUGAC